This 262-nucleotide ribosomal RNA is filed under the name uncultured bacterium. Its description in RNAcentral is "partial 16S ribosomal RNA". It matches the Rfam family "Bacterial small subunit ribosomal RNA", at positions 793 to 1055 of the family's 1533-position model. The record is from RNAcentral.
GUCCACGCCGUAAACGGUGGGUGCUAGGUGUAGGCGGUAUUCCACGCCGUCUGUGCCGCAGCUAACGCAUUAAGCACCCCGCCUGGGGAGUACGGCCGCAAGGCUAAAACUCAAAGGAAUUGACGGGGGCCCGCACAAGCAGCGGAGCAUGUGGCUUAAUUCGACGCAACGCGAAGAACCUUACCAAGGCUUGACAUACACCGAAAACUCGUAGAGAUACGGGGUCCGCAAGGGCGGUGUACAGGUGGUGCAUGGUUGUCGU